RNAcentral lists this ribosomal RNA (500 nucleotides) under uncultured bacterium. RNAcentral describes it as "partial 16S ribosomal RNA". It matches the Rfam family "Bacterial small subunit ribosomal RNA", at positions 30 to 523 of the family's 1533-position model. The record is from RNAcentral.
AUUGAACGCUGGCGGAAUGCUUUACACAUGCAAGUCGAACGGCAGCACGGACUUCGGUCUGGUGGCGAGUGGCGAACGGGUGAGUAAUGUAUCGGAACGUGCCCAGUCGUGGGGGAUAACGUAGUGAAAAUUACGCUAAUACCGCAUACGAUCUAUGGAUGAAAGCGGGGGAUCGCAAGACCUCGCGCGAUUGGAGCGGCCGAUAUCAGAUUAGGUAGUUGGUGGGGUAAAGGCCCACCAAGCCAACGAUCUGUAGCUGGUCUGAGAGGACGACCAGCCACACUGGAACUGAGACACGGUCCAGACUCCUACGGGAGGCAGCAGUGGGGAAUUUUGGACAAUGGGCGAAAGCCUGAUCCAGCCAUUCCGCGUGCAGGAUGAGGGCCCUCGGGUUGUAAACUGCUUUUGUACGGAGCGAAAAGGUUUCUACUAAUACUAGGAGCUCAUGACGGUACUGUAAGAAUAAGCACCGGCUAACUACGUGCCAGCCGCCGCCGUAA